CUUAUACUACCCUGAAUGCAUCUAGUCUCCUCUGAUUUCAGAAGCUAAAGAGGGUCACACCUGGUUAGUUCUUGGAUGGGGGAAUAUCAUAGGCAUCUAGGUAAGGC
RNAcentral lists this ribosomal RNA (107 nucleotides) under Pogona vitticeps (central bearded dragon). The record is from RNAcentral. Lineage: Eukaryota; Metazoa; Chordata; Lepidosauria; Squamata; Agamidae.